Non-coding RNA from Bombyx mori (domestic silkworm), 74 nucleotides. The record is from Rfam. NCBI's taxonomy places the organism in Eukaryota, Metazoa, Arthropoda, Insecta, Lepidoptera, Bombycidae.
UUAACUCAAAUUUGUAUGCAGUUGGAACGUUUGCCGCUAAGGGCGUUGUUCCAACUGCACACAAAUUUGAGUUA